CAGUCAGGAAGCCUCGCAGGGCGGAGCCAUCCGAAUUGUAAACAAUGGUGGCCGACCUCCUCCGUUUCCCGAGGAACCCAGAGGGCGAGCCGCCUGAUCCCGACCUAAGGGUCCAGCGAGGACUCGGGACCCCGAACUCACCCAGCUGGCGAGGGAGAAGACACCCAGCACAGCCCCCAUGGUGACGCCAGUGAUGGAGGUGGCCGGUCCUGAGGCUGCUAUCUAAUGCGGUGAAAUGGAAUGAGGCUCAAAGUGUGCCCAAGGCCAUGAAAAGUGUUGAUGAAAGAAGAAAGAAAACUACUCACAUUUAAUAAUUCCUACCUCUCUUUUCCCAGAUCCCUCUCCUCACCGCACAUACACAAAUACCAGUUCAAGUCAGGUUGCUUCAGGACCACUGCACUUUCCAGGGAGCCCUUAACAUUCUUGCUUCUUUCUGUCUGAGUAUUGUUGGUCUGGACUUAAGAGAGCUAAGACAGUGAUAAAUUUUAUAGAUCAAAUUCUACCAGAAACAUACCUGUAGUCAAAAAGAAUUAGGUUUAUUUAGCUUGUUCAGAAAGGGAGAACACAUACCAAAGAAAACAUAGGGUACCUUGGUAAGAGGUAACUGGGGAUAACUUAUUUUAGGAUUUGGGUUUAUGCUGGGUAACUAAAUCUAAGGAGAGUUUAAGGAAGUGGAGAACAGUUUUGGAUUGGACACAGUCAAGGAGUAGAGGCAAUUCAGUGAUUAGUUAUCUUACACAUUUUUAUCCGGGAGGUAGAAGGAUUAAAACAAGGCUAGAUUUGUUCUUGGAAAAGAAGCAAAACCCACUCAUAUUAGUCAGAAUUGGAAGAUGUUGAGUCCUAUUUGUGGUACCAGAGUGGUGGCUUUGUCUGUGUCUUGUUCCAACUACAUGGUGGUCUUGUCUGAUCUUUGUUUAUAUUCUGUGAUCACUGUUUAUGUUCCAUUAGAAACAUUAGGUCUACCUGUCAGCUGAACAGUUUUUCACUUUCUAACCUGCAAGCAUUUGUCCUCCCAAAUGUAGGAUCCCACCCAUCUCUUAGUGUUUCUGGCCCUAACUGGUUGAGUGUGUCACCUCCACUUGGCCAAAGGGAGGAGAGCAGAUCUUCGAGAUCAUCUACUCCAAUCUCCCACCUCAGGCAGGAACCCCUCAGCAACAUCUCUUCUAGGGUAGGGGACUCACUGCCACCCAAGGCAGCUCCUCCCAUCUUUACAUAUCCGUUGUCAAACCUCUCAGGCCUCUGAGCCCAAGCUAAGCCAUCAUAUCCCCUGUGACCUGCACGUACACAUCCAGAUGGCAGGUUCCUGCCUUAACUGAUGACAUUCUACCACAAAAGUGAAAAUGGCCUGUUCCUGCCUUAACUGAUGACAUUACCUUGUGAAAUUCCUUCUCCUGGCUCAUCCUGGCUCAAAAGCUCCCCUGCUGAGCACCUUGUGACCCUGCCCCUGCCCGCUAGAGAACAACCCUCUUUGACUGUAAUUUUCCUUUACCUACCUACCCAAAUCCUAUAAAACGGCCCCACCCCUAUCUCCCUUCACUGAAUCUCUUUUCGGACGCAGCCCGCCUGCACCCAA
Rhinopithecus roxellana (golden snub-nosed monkey) is the source of this 1573-nucleotide long non-coding RNA. RefSeq lists it as uncharacterized. The record is from RefSeq and is a predicted model, not a curated record. NCBI's taxonomy places the organism in Eukaryota, Metazoa, Chordata, Mammalia, Primates, Cercopithecidae. The transcript has 3 exons.